RNAcentral lists this ribosomal RNA (1505 nucleotides) under metagenome. RNAcentral describes it as "bacterial SSU rRNA". It matches the Rfam family "Bacterial small subunit ribosomal RNA". The record is from RNAcentral.
AGAGUUUGAUCCUGGCUCAGGACGAACGCUGGCGGCGUGCCUAAUACAUGCAAGUAGAACGCUGAAGAGAGGAGCUUGCUCUUCUUGGAUGAGUUGCGAACGGGUGAGUAACGCGUAGGUAACCUGCCUUGUAGCGGGGGAUAACUAUUGGAAACGAUAGCUAAUACCGCAUAACAUGGAUGACACAUGUCAUUUAUUUGAAAGGGGCAAUUGCUCCACUACAAGAUGGACCUGCGUUGUAUUAGCUAGUAGGUGAGGUAACGGCUCACCUAGGCGACGAUACAUAGCCGACCUGAGAGGGUGAUCGGCCACACUGGGACUGAGACACGGCCCAGACUCCUACGGGAGGCAGCAGUAGGGAAUCUUCGGCAAUGGGGGCAACCCUGACCGAGCAACGCCGCGUGAGUGAAGAAGGUUUUCGGAUCGUAAAGCUCUGUUGUAAGUCAAGAACGAGUGUGAGAGUGGAAAGUUCACACUGUGACGGUAGCUUACCAGAAAGGGACGGCUAACUACGUGCCAGCAGCCGCGGUAAUACGUAGGUCCCGAGCGUUGUCCGGAUUUAUUGGGCGUAAAGCGAUCGCAGGCGGUUUGAUAAGUCUGAAGUUAAAGGCUGUGGCUCGACCAUAGUUCGCUUUGGAAACUGUCAAACUUGAGUGCAGAAGGGGAGAGUGGAAUUCCAUGUGUAGCGGUGAAAUGCGUAGAUAUAUGGAGGAACACCGGUGGCGAAAGCGGCUCUCUGGUCUGUAACUGACGCUGAGGCUCGAAAGCGUGGGGAGCGAACAGGAUUAGAUACCCUGGUAGUCCACGCCGUAAACGAUGAGUGCUAGGUGUUGGAUCCUUUCCGGGAUUCAGUGCCGCAGCUAACGCAUUAAGCACUCCGCCUGGGGAGUACGACCGCAAGGUUGAAACUCAAAGGAAUUGACGGGGGCCCGCACAAGCGGUGGAGCAUGUGGUUUAAUUCGAAGCAACGCGAAGAACCUUACCAGGUCUUGACAUCCCGAUGCUAUUUCUAGAGAUAGAAAGUUACUUCGGUACAUCGGUGACAGGUGGUGCAUGGUUGUCGUCAGCUCGUGUCGUGAGAUGUUGGGUUAAGUCCCGCAACGAGCGCAACCCCUAUUGUUAGUUGCCAUCAUUCAGUUGGGCACUCUAGCGAGACUGCCGGUAAUAAACCGGAGGAAGGUGGGGAUGACGUCAAAUCAUCAUGCCCCUUAUGACCUGGGCUACACACGUGCUACAAUGGUUGGUACAACGAGUUGCGAGUCGGUGACGGCAAGCUAAUCUCUUAAAGCCAAUCUCAGUUCGGAUUGUAGGCUGCAACUCGCCUACAUGAAGUCGGAAUCGCUAGUAAUCGCGGAUCAGCACGCCGCGGUGAAUACGUUCCCGGGCCUUGUACACACCGCCCGUCACACCACGAGAGUUUGUAACACCCGAAGUCGGUGAGGUAACCUUUUGGAGCCAGCCGCCUAAGGUGGGAUAGAUGAUUGGGGUGAAGUCGUAACAAGGUA